Long non-coding RNA from Onychostoma macrolepis, 816 nucleotides. RefSeq lists it as uncharacterized. Lineage: Eukaryota; Metazoa; Chordata; Actinopteri; Cypriniformes; Cyprinidae. The record is from RefSeq and is a predicted model, not a curated record. The transcript has 3 exons.
UUAAAAAUGCCUACAAAUUUAUCAAACUGAUCUGAGUUAAUGUGAAAUAAACAAGGACACUGGUUCACGGUUGAAGUUUCUUCGGCUGCGUCCGAAAGCUCAGCCGGUGACCUGCUCUCGACGGAUCCUCACGAAACUGACUUCUGAGGCAGAUGAGCGCUUUAAUUACCUACAACAACAACAUCUGAGAGAACAAGAGAAAACGAAUUCUUUCCACUUCAGUCCCAGAAGACGUCUGCAGCGGAGCGUCUCCUCUUCAGAGCCGGAGGUGCUGUCUGAGAUCGGACCUGAUCUGCAGAGCCCGGCUCACACUGCUCCUCAAUCAGCCUUCGCUUCGCUUCUUUCAUUCAGCUGAAUAUGAAGAAUGCAUGUGAUGUGUCCUUCGCAACUCACCCACAAUGAAGCGGUCCUCCACAAACCCGGCCUAGGAGCAGCUACAGGACAGAGUUAAAGAUCAUCACAGAGAGAGAGGAGGAUGAAGGGUGACACGAACUAAAGCUGUUCACUUCGGCUUCAUCUCCCGUUACAGCGGUGCUGUCGUCCUGCAACUACACCUGUGCACAGAAUCAGGAGCGAAGCGUCCAUCAGUGCGAGCUUUCUCCAGACGAGUGCACCGGCCGAGCACAACCGCCGUCCAGACUAAUGAGUCUAAUGACACUAAUGAGACCAGAGCUGUGAGAUCAGUCUGUGUUUGCACUGCUCUUCACUCCGGAAACAUGGGGUUUCUGGAAACUGAUCAAUAUUUUGUCAUUUCCAUGCCCAGGUAACGAAGCAAACAUCACUGUUUGUCCCCAUUUACUGCUAUAUUCAUCUGAC